RNAcentral lists this ribosomal RNA (892 nucleotides) under uncultured bacterium. RNAcentral's name for it is "bacterial SSU rRNA". It matches the Rfam family "Bacterial small subunit ribosomal RNA", at positions 29 to 916 of the family's 1533-position model. The record is from RNAcentral.
ACGGACGUAGCGGCAGGCCCAAACAUGCAAGUCGAGGGGCAGCAUCCUGUGCUUGCACAGGGAUGGCGACCGGCGCACGGGUGCGCAACGCGUAUGGAACCUGCCCACCGCAGGGGAAUAGCCCGGGGAAACCCGGAUUAAUGCCCCGUGGCAUCCCUGAGCGGCAUCGCUCGGGGAUUAAAGUCUACGGGCGGCGGUGGAUGGCCAUGCGUGCCAUUAGCUGGUUGGUGGGGCAACGGCCCACCAAGGCGACGAUGGCUAGGGGCCCUGAGAGGGGGAUCCCCCACACUGGUACUGAGACACGGACCAGACUCCUACGGGAGGCAGCAGUGAGGAAUAUUGGACGAUGGGCGGAGGCCUGAUCCAGCCAUGCCGCGUGCGGGAAGACGGCCCUACGGGUCGUAAACCGCUUCUGUACGGGAAGAACCCCCCCGACGUGUCGGGGGUUGACGGUACCGUAAGAAUAAGGACCGGCUAACUCCGUGCCAGCAGCCGCGGUAAUACGGAGGGUCCGAGCGUUAUCCGGAAUCAUUGGGUUUAAAGGGUCCGUAGGCGGGCCGUUAAGUCAGGGGUGAAAUACUGCGGCUCAACCGUAGAGGUGCCCUUGAUACUGGCGGUCUUGAGUCACGAUGGGGCGGCCGGAAUAUGUUGUGUAGCGGUGAAAUGCAUAGAUAUCACAUAGAACACCGAUCGCGAAGGCAGGUCGCCAACCGUGUACUGACGCUGAUGGACGAAAGCGUGGGUAGCGAACGGGAUUAGAUACCCCGGUAGUCCACGCCGUAAACGAUGGACACUAGCUGUGGGGCCCUUGGGCCCCGUGGCCAAGCGAAAGUGAUAAGUGUCCCACCUGGGGGAGUACGUUCGCAAGAAUGAAACUCAAAUGAAUUGACGG